UACGUAUGGUGCAAGCGUUAUCCGGAUUUACUGGGCGUAAAGGGAGCGCAGGCGGUGCGCCAAGUCUGAUGUGAAACCCCGGGGCUCAACCCCGGGCAUGCAUUGGAAACUGGCGGGCUGGAGUGCCGGAGAGGUAAGCGGAAUUCCUAGUGUAGCGGUGAAAUGCGUAGAUAUUAGGAGGAACACCAGUGGCGAAGGCGGCUUACUGGACGGCAACUGACGCUGAGGCUCGAAAGUGUGGGUAUCAAACAGG
Molecule: ribosomal RNA, 253 nt
Filed under: uncultured bacterium
Lineage: Bacteria
Description: partial 16S ribosomal RNA
Rfam family: Bacterial small subunit ribosomal RNA
Source: RNAcentral